GGAUUUCAGUCCACCGCCAUACCACCCUGAACGUGUCUGAUCUCGUCAGCUAAGCAGGGUUGGGCCUGGUUAGUAUUUGGAUGGGAAAGAUAGGAUUUCAAAUUCC
Ribosomal RNA from Vulpes vulpes (red fox), 106 nucleotides. The record is from Ensembl. Lineage: Eukaryota; Metazoa; Chordata; Mammalia; Carnivora; Canidae.